UGGGGAAUUUUGCACAAUGCCCGAAAGGGUGAUGCAGCAACGCCGCGUGAGGGAUGAAGGCCUUCGGGUCGUAAACCUCUUUCGACUGGGAAAAACGGGCUGGUGAAGAGCCAGUUCUGAUGGUACCGGUGGAAGAAGCCCCGGCUAACUACGUGCCAGCAGCCGCGGUAAUACGUAGGGGGCGAGCGUUGUUCGGAAUUAUUGGGCGUAAAGGGCGUGUAGGCGGUGCGGUAAGUCGGGCGUUAAAUCUCCAGGCUUAACUUGGAGGGGCCGUCCGAAACUGCCGUGCUAGGGUGCGGGAGAGGGCAGUGGAAUUCCCGGUGUAGCGGUGAAAUGCGUAGAUAUCGGGAGGAACAUCUGUGGCGAAGGCGGCUGCCUGGACCGCAACCGACGCUGAGGCGCGAAAGCUAGGGGAGCAAACAGG
Molecule: ribosomal RNA, 424 nt
Filed under: uncultured Acidobacteriota bacterium
Lineage: Bacteria; Pseudomonadati; Acidobacteriota
Description: bacterial SSU rRNA
Rfam family: Bacterial small subunit ribosomal RNA
Source: RNAcentral